CUAACUGGUGCUUCAGGUUUUUAAGGCCGGCUCGCGGGAGCGGGUACCCAUUGUCUGCUGAAGCAGCCGUCUGUCUGCCAAGAAGGUGAAUGCGAACUGGUGUGUGGCAGAUCCUACCGAGGCAGAUAGACAGCAGGACACCCGUGACUCGCAAGCCUGAAGAAAAGUCUGUCCAUCACGUUUGCCCUCUUCUGCAGGGAGGCUAGUAAGAUGGGAGAAGUGAAAAGUUCUCGGCAGGACAGUAAAAUUUCCAGAACAGUCCUUUGCAGUUCUCCACUACUGGACUGACAAGACAAAGCUGAUGAAAACUGAACUGCCUUUAUGUACAGACAUCAUAAAAAAAAUGCACAUACACUGGAGAUUUUCCAAGGAACAGGAGCUGGAAAUAAAAUUUAAGGG
This is a long non-coding RNA of Chinchilla lanigera (long-tailed chinchilla), 399 nucleotides long. RefSeq lists it as uncharacterized. The record is from RefSeq and is a predicted model, not a curated record. NCBI's taxonomy places the organism in Eukaryota, Metazoa, Chordata, Mammalia, Rodentia, Chinchillidae. The transcript is spliced from 3 exons.